Molecule: long non-coding RNA, 1582 nt
Organism: Lagenorhynchus albirostris (white-beaked dolphin)
Lineage: Eukaryota; Metazoa; Chordata; Mammalia; Artiodactyla; Delphinidae
Exons: 4
Source: RefSeq, a predicted model, not a curated record
UUCCCCCGUGCUAGGAGGGUUAAGGGCUGCAAAGCUCACGGAAGAAACGAUCAAUUUGAAAUGCAUACACUUUCAUAGGACAUGGCGUGUCCCGUCCCCAAUCUGAUGUGGGGCAGCAUUGAACCAGGAAAAUGCUGUGGAAACAUCCACAGGGAAACUCUUUCAAACUCCCGUUUGGAGCCUUCAAAAAGUGGGGCGUAUGACAUCAAUAAUCACGCCUGAUUCUUUUUUCUUUCACUUUUGCCAAAAUGAGGUUUUAUUUUGAAGGUCGUUUGACAGUAGGGAGACCCAGGAUUCACCGGGCUCGGAAUCCAGGUCACGUCUCUGCUCACGCCGGUGGUGCUGGUCACCCCUGGUUGCUUCCGCGGAGCUUCUGCACCAGAAACUGCCUCUCCCCCGGCGCCGGCCCCUCCCUCCUUCACCAUCUGAGUCUAACACGCAGAGGCCAUCCUUUCGGGUCGUUUGCUCUGCAGUUGCCCACCUGGAGGACCCCUCCGGGCACACCCCUGUCUGCCGCGCCCUCUGGUCCUCACAGGUGUCCUGGGAACCUGAGGAUGGCCUGGGGCCCGAGUGGACGAGGACCGCUGGGGCUGUGGCUCUGCCCCUGCCACGCCGCCCCCUCCAUCCGGCACGGAGCAGCCGGGCAGCUUCGAACACCACACCGGAGGUGACGAGUGCGCAUGAGAGGCAGCGUGCCCCCCUCCUCGCGGACAGAAGAGCGGACGGCACCGCUGAGCUGACGGAGGCCCGGCCGCGGGACGCGGGUGCCCGGGGUCGGGAGGGGCCGGGCAGGGCAGCCCCGCGGACGGCCCUGGCUCCAGGGUCUGGAGCAGCACUGCCCACCAGGGAGCCCCCGUCACAGCAUCCUGUCUGGAGACCAGCUCAGCUUCACUCGUCCCAACCUUCCUGAGUCCUCAUUUACCUUCACAGACGGUCCGGGCCAAAGACAGACUGCUCAUUGCAGUUGUGCAGAAAUACAACUGAUUUUUGCAUAUUGAUCUUGUAUCCUACAACCUUGGCGCACUUUCACUGCCUCCGUUUUCUGGACGAGGAAACUGGAGAUGGCGGGUGACCUGCCACCGCCCCUGUGACGUCGGGUGACAUCGGGGGGGACAUGCGGACGGUCUGCACCCAGCUGGGGCUGGCCCACAGCUGCCCCGGCCUCCGCCCUCGUCACCCGCGCCUCUGCCUGCUCUGCUCAGAGCUCUGAGCCGCCGGAGGACGACCGUGUCCCUUAAGGAGGAGGAAGCACGGGUGCUACCGAGGCUUCCUUGGCAAUUUUUUCUUUAAUCAAAACCAUCACGAUUUGCGGCUCCAUCUUGAUUACGCCUCUCCUGCAGGCACCCCUGAUCCCCUGCCUCAUCCUUGAUUUUUUAUUUAAAUUCUCCCCACUCUUCGUUCUGAUUUCUAGGUCAGAGACUUUGAGACUCAUCCUUGCUUCAAGUGGGCUUGGCGAUUCUGCCCGGCGUGAGCUUGUUCGUGAGGGCGAGGGACAGGGGUGUCCGGAGGGGCAGUGGGCGGCCCCCGCGGUGCAGGCCAGGGGCCCGGGCGCCGUCUUCCUUGACCCCUCUCUCUCUCUUUU